AGAUUGAACUGAAGAGUUUGAUCAUGGCUCAGAUUGAACGCUGGCGGCAGGCUUAACACAUGCAAGUCGAGCGGUAACAGAGAUAGCUUGCUAUCUGCUGACGAGCGG
RNAcentral lists this ribosomal RNA (108 nucleotides) under Oleiphilus sp. HI0086. Its description in RNAcentral is "partial 16S ribosomal RNA". It matches the Rfam family "Bacterial small subunit ribosomal RNA", at positions 1 to 98 of the family's 1533-position model. The record is from RNAcentral. Lineage: Bacteria; Pseudomonadati; Pseudomonadota; Gammaproteobacteria; Oceanospirillales; Oleiphilaceae.